GCCUACGGGGGGCAGCAGUAGGGAAUUUUCGUCAAUGGGCGCAAGCCUGAACGAGCAAUGCCGCGUGAACGAGGAAGGUCUUCGGAUCGUAAAGUUCUGUUGAAGGGGAAAAAGAGCGGAGAGAGGAAAUGGUCUCCGCUUGAUAUUACCCUUCGAGGAAGUCACGGCUAACUACGUGCCAGCAGCCGCGGUAAUACGUAGGUGGCGAGCGUUAUCCGGAAUGAUUGGGCGUAAAGGGUGCGUAGGCGGCCUGCUAAGUCUGGAGUGAAAGGUACCGGCUCAACCGGUACAGGCUCUGGAAACUG
Molecule: ribosomal RNA, 305 nt
Filed under: uncultured bacterium
Lineage: Bacteria
Description: bacterial SSU rRNA
Rfam family: Bacterial small subunit ribosomal RNA
Source: RNAcentral